CGCAGCCGCUCCGCUAGGCGGCCGGGUGCCCGCGCCGUGCUCAGAGCUCGGGACCCCGGGGCUCCGGGUCCCCAGUCGCGCUCCCCGUCCCGGGCCAGAGCCGCAGCUCGAACUGGGCGAGGAAGCCGGUAGCGUGGCCAGACCUUGUGCCCGCUGACCACUGGGGGCGUCUGGCCAGCAGGCGCUGAAAUGAACCCGGGACAAAGCAUUUCAACAGUCGCUCUUAAUUUAGCCGUGGUGAGAAACACUUGGCCCUCGGUUGAUCAAGAAAGCAGAAGAGCACCGGGCCGACAUUCCUGCACUCAGCUUCUCCAGCUGCGCGUCUGGUGGCCUUGACCCUGCUCCCGAAGAGAGGUGGACGCGGAACCUCAGAGUGCGGCCAGAGCUUGCGGCAGUGAGAGCUUACAGCGGGUAGCGAGAUGGACUAAAUCACCUGUGUGGGCUGGAGAAAAGGAGACCCUCUGGAAAAUGGUGAGCUUUCAGAGACACCUGGAAUGCAUGACCAAGAACAGACCUGCACACUGUUCACAACAGCCAGAAGCUGGAAACAACCCGAGUGCCCGAGAACAGACGACUGGUUGAAGAAACAGUGCAAUACUAUGCAGCUGUCAGGAGAGAUGAAGUCAUGAAAUUUGCUUAUAAGUGGAUGGUCAUGGAGAGUAUCAUGCUACGUGAAUUUCAGGUGAAUGCAAGCGGAGAAGUUCGCGCGUUGAGACUGGGCUCCUUUCCCGGGAGACGUGGAAGGGCCUCAGAACCAACCUGGAGGAACGGAGAGAGAAAACCAGGGAAGAGACGGCCUCCCGAGAAGACGCCUUGGCCCCUGGGCUCCGAAACUGAUCAACAAACAGUGGAGGAUGGGAAGGGGUCAGCAGUCAGACUAGAGAUGAUGUGAGCCAGUUCUGGACGGUCAGGGACACUUUGGUGGUGGUGGGAUGCAGUAGUGCAUCAUUAAAGGCUCUUGUAGGCCUGGAGAGAUAGCACAGGGGGGAGGUGUUUGCUUUGCAUGUGGCUGACCCAGAUUUAAUCUGAUAUCCCGGAUGGUCCCUCAAGCACUGCCUGGAGUGAUCCCUGAGUACGGAAGGAGGAGCAAGCCCUCAGCACUACUGGGUGUGACCCCCCAACCCUCUAACCAUAUCAUCUAACUGUAAAUAAAAAAUAUUGCAUAUAUACAUAUAAAUAUAUGCAUUUGGAAAUAGGGCCAUCAAGCCCCAGAGAGAAACAGAGAUUCUGAAAUCCCUAUUAUAUGCGCCCCAAUGGAAACCAAAAAUUUGAAUGAGAAACUCAGGGGAAAACCAUGAUAAAAUAAAUCCCCCAAAUUGGAACCUUGAACAUCUCCUAACUAUAGGCACAAGAAACAAACAAAAUGGAGGGAAAGGCAGACAGAUGGAGGAGAGAGGGAAAUGGUGGUUAUCACAGUCAUCCAGAGAACAAAGAUGUUUAAGAAGGGAAGGAGGGCAAUUAUCUUUAUUCAAAAGAUAAUCGAAUUAGAGCUGGAAAUUCAGAAUCGAUGGGUACUCUUACAAUGAAAAACGUUUACUUAUUUUUAUUUUUAAUUAAAAAAAAUUUUUUUGAAAAACUUUUAAUAGUGAGAAAAAGAUGAAGAAACAUUACCAGAAGGCUGAAAAUGUAUAUUAUUUGAGUGAAUUAAAAAGAUGGCUCUAAAAAACCAUCUUACGGGCAUCAAAGGAUCAAAGACACAUUGGUCUUGAGAACUCUCCAUACUCUGAAAAUUACUGUGAAUCCCUGGAAGUUUUUCAAAUGCUGGUUACAUUCAUUAAUAGUAGGCAUGUUUGAAAUGGAAAGCAAACACUUGGGAAAAAUACCAGGUCUGGAGAGAUAGUGCAGUGGCGAAAGUGCUUGCUUUGCGAGUUGCUGGCCCUCUGUGGUCUCCAUCACCGCCUGUGGCUCCCUGAGCACUGCCAAAGUGAUUCCUGGGUGUAGAGCCAGGAGACAGCUCUCAACCCAGCUCAGUGUGGUCUCCAAAUAAAAAAAUCAUUAUUAAUUUAUUUUAAAAUAACAAUUUAUCACAGGCAACACAUAACAUAUGUGUUGUUUGGGUUUGAGGGGAAGAUAGCUCUGUUCCCAAAACCAUCACCUCGUUAACGUUCCCUGUCCAGUAUCAGCGUGCGUAGUGCUGAUCAGGGAACCCACUUUUCUUUUUUUUUUUUUUUUUGCUUUUUGGGUCACACCUGGCGAUGCACAGGGGUUACUCCUGGCUCUGCACUCAGGAAUUACCCCUGGCGGAGCUCAGGGAACCAUAUGGGAUGCUGGGAAUUGAACCCGGGUCGGCUGUGUGCAAGGCAAAUGCCCUACCCGCUGUGCUAUUGCUCCAGCCCCCAGGGCACCCCCUUUUCUCGGAGCACAGCUGAAGCAGCCCACUCAGGUGUUUUAGUUUACCUUCACGCGUGAAGAGAGUAUUCGCAGUGAGUCACUGGGUGAAAGCUACUUGCAAACCUGUCGAUUCCUAUCAUUUAGGAAAUGUGUGGACAUGCCCUUUGUCCCAAUAAGCCAAAUAGUGGACUCACUCCUGGCAGUCGGCGCUGCAGGGAGUGCCGGAGCUACCCGGGCGGGGGUCUUGCUUUGGGUGCAACGGAGGGGGUGGUUUCUGUUGGUUCUUGUAAAGAAGGGAGGUAUCUGGGAAUGCCGCGUGGGUGAUUUCUGUCCUGAAAAGGGGCGGUAAGACUAAUAAAUUUGGGAAUCUCUGGUUUUCAAAAAUGCAAGUAUCAUGCAUCAGGGGCAUGUGGUUCCCACCUCAAGGGCACCAUCAAAUCUCCAGUAUCCUGGAUGGACCCUCUGUAUCCCCUGCUUGGUGGCUCAGUCCUGAGGUCACUGUCCUUAGACCAGCUUCCCUGGACUCUGCCCCGUCUUCCCGAGAGACUUGUUCUAGCAUCGGUGAAGAGCUGGCUCUCUGCAGUUCUUACUUGCAUUUCCCUGGCGAUUCGUGGCACUGAGCACGGUUUCGUGGACUUGGCGAUCACGGACAUGUAUGUCUUCUCGGGAGAGAUACAGAUUCAGACAUUUGACUUUUAAUUGAGUUCUCUUUGUUACCUUUCGUGUACUAUUUUACUUGGUAUGUUGUACACAGAACAUAAACACGGACGUUUAAACUAGUUUAAGCGCACUGUUGUGUGACAGCGGGGUCGGUCCUACCACCCUUCUCCAUUCUCCCGGGUGGAAACUGUCCGCACUCAGUGCCCUCCCAUCCUCCCUGGCCUCCAGGACCUCACCACCGCCACUCCAGUCAGCAUCUCUGCCUCUGGUCACAUCGCUAGCGACCUCCUCCGUCAGUGGAAUCAGACCUUUGUUCUUUUGUAAGUGGUUUAUUUUGUGUAGCAUAAUAUAUUCGGGGUUCAUCCAUCUUGGAGUACGUGCCAGAACUGGGGGGAUGGCUAGGGCAGAGGUCAGGUGGGGCUGGGGAGGUUACCAGAGAUCGAACUUGGAGCCUCGCACGGGCAAGAAAAGUAGUGGUCUGCCAUGGCCCGGAAUUUGCUUUCUAAGUGAAGAAUACCGACUCCACGCCGGUGCUGACCUGUGACUCUCCUCCAUCACUGGACAGCGGGGAAUGGUAUUGCUCCACAGGUGGGCACAGGAGCAAGUACCUGCACAAGCAUCGCUCCCUUCUGUGGGCAUUAUUAGAAGUGGAAUUCCUGGAUCCCGUUAUUCUUUGCUUCACUUUAUGAAGAAUCGCCAUGCCACCUUCCAUAGUGGUCACUUUGGAUAUAAGUACCAGUUUAUAUUCCCCACAGAUAUGCAUAGGGGUCCCAAUUUCCCAGCAUUUACACAAAUGUUUGUUAUUUUCUGACUUCAUUUUGCUUGCUUAUUGUUGUUUUAUGAUAGUUAACAUGGUGACUAUAAAUUGAUGUUGAUUGGACUUUUUAUUUGCAGUUCUCUAACAAUUAGUCUUGUUGAGCAUUUUAAAUACAUCUAUUGGACAUUUAUAUAUGUUCUUUGGUAAAAUGUCUAUUUAAAUCCUUAAUCCAUUUUAGAACAUGUGUUCUUUAGCUUUUUAACAUUGUUAUAUUGUCUUUUAAAUUAUUGUGGUAUAAAAUUUCAA
Sorex araneus (European shrew) is the source of this 4054-nucleotide long non-coding RNA. RefSeq lists it as uncharacterized. The transcript has 3 exons. The record is from RefSeq and is a predicted model, not a curated record. Lineage: Eukaryota; Metazoa; Chordata; Mammalia; Eulipotyphla; Soricidae.